RNAcentral lists this ribosomal RNA (518 nucleotides) under uncultured bacterium. Its description in RNAcentral is "bacterial SSU rRNA". It matches the Rfam family "Bacterial small subunit ribosomal RNA", at positions 8 to 518 of the family's 1533-position model. The record is from RNAcentral.
AGAGUUGAUCCUGGCUCAGGAUGAACGCUAGCGGCAGGCCUAACACAUGCAAGUCGAGGGGCAGCGCGGGAGUAGCAAUACACCGUGGCGGCGACCGGCGGAAGGGUGCGUAACGCGUGAGCAACAUGCCCGUCACAGGGGGAUAAAAGAUGGAAACGUCUCCUAAUACCCCGUAACAUCGUUUGCGGCAUCGCAGGCGGUUGAAAGUUUCGGCGGUGACGGAUUGGCUCGCGUGACAUUAGCUAGUUGGAGUGGUAACGGCACACCAAGGCGACGAUGUCUAGGGGUUCUGAGAGGAAGGUCCCCCACACUGGAACUGAGACACGGUCCAGACUCCUACGGGAGGCAGCAGUGAGGAAUAUUGGUCAAUGGGCGGAAGCCUGAACCAGCCAUGCCGCGUGAAGGAAUAAGGUCCUAUGGAUCGUAAACUUCUUUUGUACGGGAGCAAUAAGGGCCACGCGUGGUCCGAUGAGAGUACCGUACGAAUAAGCAUCGGCUAACUCCGUGCCAGCAGCGGC